This is a small nuclear RNA of Monodelphis domestica (gray short-tailed opossum), 109 nucleotides long. NCBI's taxonomy places the organism in Eukaryota, Metazoa, Chordata, Mammalia, Didelphimorphia, Didelphidae. The record is from Ensembl.
GUGCUCACUUUAGGAGAAUGUAUAUUAAAACUAGAACAAUAGAGAGAAGAUUAGUAUAACCCCUGCAUGGGAGGAAGGCAUGCAAAUUGUGUAAGCAUCCCUUAUUUUU